GAUGAACGCUGGCGGCGUGCCUAAUACAUGCAAGUCGAGCGAACGGACGAGAAGCUUGCUUCUCUGAUGUUAGCGGCGGACGGGUGAGUAACACGUGGAUAACCUACCUAUAAGACUGGGAUAACUUCGGGAAACCGUAGCUAAUACCGGAUAAUAUUUUGAACCGCAUGGUUCAAAAGUGAAAGACGGUCUUGCUGUCACUUAUAGAUGGAUCCGCGCUGCAUUAGCUAGUUGGUAAGGUAACGGCUUACCAAGGCAACGAUGCAUAGCCGACCUGAGAGGGUGAUCGGCCACACUGGAACUGAGACACGGUCCAGACUCCUACGGGAGGCAGCAGUAGGGAAUCUUCCGCAAUGGGCGAAAGCCUGACGGAGCAACGCCGCGUGAGUGAUGAAGGUCUUCGGAUCGUAAAACUCUGUUAUUAGGGAAGAACAUAUGUGUAAGUAACUGUGCACAUCUUGACGGUACCUAAUCAGAAAGCCACGCCUAACUACGU
Molecule: ribosomal RNA, 496 nt
Filed under: uncultured bacterium
Lineage: Bacteria
Description: partial 16S ribosomal RNA
Rfam family: Bacterial small subunit ribosomal RNA
Source: RNAcentral